AUAUAUCAACCUUCUCUUGUUGAGUGGGUUUGGAUGUGGGGGUUUGCUGGCCUCUUAAAAAGGUUCAGCUCUCCUGAAAUGCAUUAGCAGAACAACCCUGUUCAUUGGUGUGAUAACUAUCUACGCUAUUGAAUGUGAAGGGCAGUUCGGCUUCCUAACAGUCCUUGGACAGCUCAUCAUUA
This 182-nucleotide unclassified non-coding RNA is filed under the name uncultured Cortinarius. RNAcentral describes it as "sequence contains ITS2". The record is from RNAcentral. Lineage: Eukaryota; Fungi; Basidiomycota; Agaricomycetes; Agaricales; Cortinariaceae.